This 237-nucleotide ribosomal RNA is filed under the name uncultured Staphylococcus sp. RNAcentral's name for it is "partial 16S ribosomal RNA". It matches the Rfam family "Bacterial small subunit ribosomal RNA", at positions 103 to 334 of the family's 1533-position model. Lineage: Bacteria; Bacillati; Bacillota; Bacilli; Caryophanales; Staphylococcaceae. The record is from RNAcentral.
CGGGUGAGUAACACGUGGAUAACCUACCUAUAAGACUGGGAUAACUUCGGGAAACCGGAGCUAAUACCGGAUAAUAUAUUGAACCGCAUGGUUCAAUAGUGAAAGACGGUUUUGCUGUCACUUAUGGAUGGAUCCGCGCCGCAUUAGCUAGUUGGUAAGGUAACGGCUUACCAAGGCAACGAUGCGUAGCCGACCUGAGAGGGUGAUCGGCCACACUGGAACUGAGACACGGUCCAG